This 501-nucleotide ribosomal RNA is filed under the name uncultured bacterium. Its description in RNAcentral is "partial 16S ribosomal RNA". It matches the Rfam family "Bacterial small subunit ribosomal RNA", at positions 30 to 523 of the family's 1533-position model. The record is from RNAcentral.
AUUGAACGCUGGCGGCAGGCUUAACACAUGCAAGUCGAGCGGGGGAAGGUAGCUUGCUACCGGACCUAGCGGCGGACGGGUGAGUAAUGCUUAGGAAUCUGCCUAUUAGUGGGGGACAACAUCUCGAAAGGGAUGCUAAUACCGCAUACGUCCUACGGGAGAAAGCAGGGGAUCUUCAGACCUUGCGCUAAUGGAUGAGCCUAAGUCGGAUUAGCUAGUUGGUGGGGUAAAGGCCUACCAAGGCGACGAUCUGUAGCGGGUCUGAGAGGAGGAUCCGCCACACUGGGACUGAGACACGGCCCAGACUCCUACGGGAGGCAGCAGUGGGGAAUAUUGGACAAUGGGGGGAACCCUGAUCCAGCCAUGCCGCGUGUGUGAAGAAGGCCUUAUGGUUGUAAAGCACUUUAAGCGAGGAGGAGGCUACUCUAGUUAAUACCUAGGGAUAGUGGACGUUACUCGCAGAAUAAGCACCGGCUAACUCUGUGCCAGCCGCCGCCGUAA